AUUUUUAAUCCCUAAUUUUUGCCCGAACCUUUUCAUUUUCUUGGUUCGUCGGGAUGCCCAUUUUUUUUGGACUAUUUUUUUUAUUGUUCAGCGGGUCUAUUUCAUGUGAAGUAUUUUUUAACUGCGUCUGAGUUCACGGGGGAAGUGAAGUCUUCACCAUCCAUAGUUUCCAGUAUUAAGGCCCCACCAUCGAAAAUCUUGGUAAUAAUGUAUGGUCCAUCAUAGUUAGGAGUCCACUUUCCC
This 243-nucleotide long non-coding RNA is filed under the name Lathyrus oleraceus (garden pea). RNAcentral describes it as "Pisum sativum (pea) long non-coding RNA (PSAT_LNC020125)". The record is from RNAcentral. Lineage: Eukaryota; Viridiplantae; Streptophyta; Magnoliopsida; Fabales; Fabaceae.